Molecule: ribosomal RNA, 439 nt
Filed under: uncultured bacterium
Lineage: Bacteria
Description: bacterial SSU rRNA
Rfam family: Bacterial small subunit ribosomal RNA
Source: RNAcentral
CCUACGGGAGGCAGCAGUGGGGAAUAUUGCACAAUGGGGGAAACCCUGAUGCAGCAACGCCGCGUGAGCGAAGAAGGCCUUCGGGUCGUAAAGCUCUGUCCUAAGGGAAGAAGCAUGACGGUACCUUAGGAGGAAGCCCCGGCUAACUACGUGCCAGCAGCCGCGGUAAUACGUAGGGGGCGAGCGUUAUCCGGAAUCACUGGGCGUAAAGGGUGCGUAGGCGGCCGAUUAAGCCAGGGGUGAAAGGCUACGGCUCAACCGUAGUAAGCCCUUGGAACUGAUUGGCUUGGGUGCAGGAGAGGGGAUUGGAAUCCUUGGUUUAGCGGUAAAAUGGUUAGAAUUUGGGGGAAACACCGGGGGCGAAGGCACUCUUCUGGAUGGUAACGGCCGCGGGGGAAGGAAAGCGGGGGAGCAAACAGGAUUAGAUACCCCAGUAGUC